Molecule: ribosomal RNA, 468 nt
Filed under: uncultured bacterium
Lineage: Bacteria
Description: partial 16S ribosomal RNA
Rfam family: Bacterial small subunit ribosomal RNA
Source: RNAcentral
GACGAACGCUGGCGGCGUGCUUAACACAUGCAAGUCGAACGGAAAGGCCCUGCUUUUGUGGGGUGCUCGAGUGGCGAACGGGUGAGUAACACGUGAGUAACCUGCCCUUGACUUUGGGAUAACUUCAGGAAACUGGGGCUACUACCGUAUAGGAGCUCCUGCUGCAUGGUGGGGGUUGGAAAGUUUCGGCGGUUGGGGAUGGACUCGCGGCUUAUCAGCUUGUUGGUGGGGUAGUGGCUUACCAAGGCUUUGACGGGUAGCCGGCCUGAGAGGGUGACCGGCCACAUUGGGACUGAGAUACGGCCCAGACGCCUACGGGAGGCAGCAGUGGGGAAUAUUGCACAAUGGGCGGAAGCCGGAUGCAGCAACGCCGCGUGCGGGAUGACGGCCUUCGGGUUGUAAACCGCUUUCGCCUGUGACGAAGCGUGAGUGACGGUAAUGGGUAAAGAAGCACCGGCUAACUACGUG